This 481-nucleotide ribosomal RNA is filed under the name uncultured bacterium. Its description in RNAcentral is "partial 16S ribosomal RNA". It matches the Rfam family "Bacterial small subunit ribosomal RNA", at positions 30 to 507 of the family's 1533-position model. The record is from RNAcentral.
AUUGAACGCUGGCGGAAUGCUUUACACAUGCAAGUCGAGCGGCAGCACGGGGGCAACCCUGGUGGCGAGCGGCGAACGGGUGAGUAAUACAUCGGAACAUGCCCAGUCGUGGGGGAUAACACUUCGAAAGAAGUGCUAAUACCGCAUACGUCCUGAGGGAGAAAGCGGGGGAUCGCAAGACCUCGCGCGAUUGGAGUGGCCGAUGUCAGAUUAGCUAGUUGGUGGGGUAAAGGCCUACCAAGGCAACGAUCUGUAGCUGGUCUGAGAGGAUGAUCAGCCACACUGGGACUGAGACACGGCCCAGACUCCUACGGGAGGCAGCAGUGGGGAAUUUUGGACAAUGGGGGCAACCCUGAUCCAGCCAUUCCGCGUGAGUGAAGAAGGCCUUCGGGUUGUAAAGCUCUUUCGGCAGGAACGAAACGGCGAGCUCUAACAUAGCUUGCUAAUGACGGUACCUGAAGAAGCACCGGCUAACUACGUG